GAUGAAGAACGUAGCGAAAUGAGAUAAGUAAUGUGAAUUGCAGAAUUCAGUGAAUCAUCGAAUCUUUGAACGCAUCUUGCGCUCCUUGGUAUUCUGAGGAGCAUGCCUGUUUGAGUGUCAUUAAAUUCUCAACUACACUGACUUUGAAUUGGUGUGGCUUGGAUUUGGGGGGAAAAUUGUUGUGGGCUUUUUGUAUAGUCUGCUCCCCUGAAAUUGAUUAGCGGUACCUUUGUGGAACUGUCUACAGGUGUGAUAAUUAUCUACAUCUUAGACAUCUGCUGGAAUGCUGCUUUCUAAACCUUACUUGUAUUGACAAUCUUGACCUCAAAUCAGGCAGGACUACCCUCUGAACUUCAGCAUAUCAAUAAGCGGAGGA
Molecule: unclassified non-coding RNA, 376 nt
Filed under: soil metagenome
Description: partial contains 5.8S ribosomal RNA, internal transcribed spacer 2, and large subunit ribosomal RNA
Rfam family: 5.8S ribosomal RNA (bases 1-120)
Source: RNAcentral